GAUGAACGCUGGCGGCGUGCUUAACACAUGCAAGUCGAACGGAAAGGCCCAAGCUUGCUUGGGUACUCGAGUGGCGAACGGGUGAGUAACACGUGGGUGAUCUGCCCUGCACUUCGGGAUAAGCCUGGGAAACUGGGUCUAAUACCGGAUAGGACGAUGGUUUGGACGCCAUUGUGGAAAGUUUUUUCGGUGUGGGAUGAGCUCGCGGCCUAUCAGCUUGUUGGUGGGGUAAUGGCCUACCAAGGCGUCGACGGGUAGCCGGCCUGAGAGGGUGUACGGCCACAGUGGGACUGAGAUACGGCCCAGACUCCUACGGGAGGCAGCAGUGGGGAAUAUUGCACAAUGGGCGCAAGCCUGAUGCAGCGACGCCGCGUGGGGGAUGACGGCCUUCGGGUUGUAAACUCCUUUCGCUAGGGACGAAGCGUUUUUGUGACGGUACCUGGAGAAGAAGCACCGGCUAACUACGUG
RNAcentral lists this ribosomal RNA (468 nucleotides) under uncultured bacterium. Its description in RNAcentral is "partial 16S ribosomal RNA". It matches the Rfam family "Bacterial small subunit ribosomal RNA", at positions 28 to 507 of the family's 1533-position model. The record is from RNAcentral.